UACGUAGGAGGCAAGCGUUGUCCGGAAUUACUGGGCGUAAAGCGCGUGUAGGUGGUGGGACAAGUCUGCUGUGAAAGCGCCUGGCUUAACCGGGCGAGGUCGGCGGAAACUGUCCGACUCGAGGACGGUAGAGGGGGGUGGAAUUCCCGGUGUAGUGGUGAAAUGCGUAGAGAUCGGGAGGAACACCUGUGGCGAAGGCGGCCCCCUGGGCCGGCCCCUGACACUGAGACGCGAAGGCGUGGGGAGCGAACGGGG
This 255-nucleotide ribosomal RNA is filed under the name uncultured bacterium. RNAcentral describes it as "partial 16S ribosomal RNA". It matches the Rfam family "Bacterial small subunit ribosomal RNA", at positions 524 to 777 of the family's 1533-position model. The record is from RNAcentral.